Molecule: long non-coding RNA, 976 nt
Filed under: Gossypium barbadense (sea-island cotton)
Lineage: Eukaryota; Viridiplantae; Streptophyta; Magnoliopsida; Malvales; Malvaceae
Description: long non-coding RNA (GBAR_LNC017303)
Source: RNAcentral
GAGCCUCAACUUAAAUGCAAGACAAAAUAUUACAAUUUGGAAGAUUUCGUGGAACUUUCUGCCUACUUUGAUUAAUUUACAUUUUCGAAGACUUGGGGUAAAUACAGUUUGUCCAAAAUGUGGAGGAGGAGUGGAAAGUAUUCAACAUGUAUUUCGAGUUUGCCUUGUGUCAUUGGAAGAGUGGAAUUCUUUAAAUCCUAUGUGGGUUGUCUCUAUGGCAAAUUUAGAUAAUUGGGAGUGGCUCACCUGGCUGUUUAAACGAAGCUCAAUUUAUCAGUGUCAUUUAUUCUGUUGCGCCUUAUGGGUGAUCUGGACAAAGCGAAGUAAGAAGUUGCAUGAAGCUAAGAGUAGUACUGGAAAAGGGAUUGCUGAAAUGACCAAUAGAUUUCUCAGGGAAAUUGAUGAAGUGGGGAAUGGAUCCCUUACCAAACAAUGGGUAGUGUCGGAAUGGAGGCCUCCAGAAACCCAAGUUGUUAAGAUCAAUUUUGGUGCGACGUAUGAUUGUAAUCAACUCGGAUCAACUUCGGGGUUGGUGGCUAGAAAUGGUGAAGGAAAGGUGCUAGCCUCAAAAUAGAUUGUGUAUAGAGGUUGCCUCUUUGUUUGUAGCAGAGGCCCAUGCAUGUCUUCAUGCUGUGCGAAUGGGGUUAGCCAUGAAAGUAGGCAAGAUUGAGGUUGAAGGAGAUGCAUUAACAAUCAUAAAAAAGUGUCAAUCUACAACCAUCGACAAAUCGAUUAUAGUAGUAUAUAUUCAAGACAUUCAACAUAGCAAAAACGGUUUUCAAAGUAUCCAGUUUAAACAUGUUUCAAGAUUGGCAAAUAAAAAAAACCCAUAGAAUCGUAGGAGAGAGUUUAAGAAAGCAAGAAGAGGUUUACCUGGAAGGAUCGAUACUUGGGUAUGCCAUGGAAUCGCUGGGUUCUAGUCGACAAAGAGAGUGAGAGCCUGAUUGAGGCGAACUGAGGAAGCAUAAAGGUUGAG